GGCUCUGACAUGGCUGUGUUUGCCUUAAAAAACAGAGGGGCAAAGUGUGCAUGAGCUAAAACUCUUUUUUCCAAGGAACAUACAUCAGCAAUAAUGAGACCAUUUUCUGAAUUAUUGGCUUCCCCAUCCAUGACCAUUCCCCCACAGUAGUCCAUUUGGCACUUCACCUCCAAAAGGGUCAACGCAUCUACGUCACCAAAGCAAAUGCCCAACAACAGACCCUGGCUCCACAAGAUACCACCCUUAUGGCGUUCUUUGUUUUGUGCCCAAGUGACCCAUUUGCUGCCAACCUGCUUUACCAUUAAGUUCCCUCCUACUAUACAUGGACUGCUUAAAAAAUAUGGAAGCGACGUGCUGCUGAUGGUGAAUCUGAUGCCUUAGGACGAGUCUACACAGUUCAUCCCAACAAUGAGCAGUGCUACUUUCUCCAAAUGCUUCUUUGUGUUGCCAAAGGGCACAAAUCUUUCCAAGACCUCUAAACAGUGGAAUGAGUUGUCUGUCAAACAUACAGGGAAGCUUGCAAUCUUCGUGCAAUUCUUGCGCAUGAUCACCAUCUUCAUAAAGCUAUGACAUAAGCUUAUUUUGGUCAGUCCCAUUUCCAACUGACAUUGCUCUUCUGCAUAAAUCUUCAAGUUUGCAGCCCAUCUAACCACAUGGGACUCUGGCAAAAAUACAAAGAGGGCAUGAGUGAGGACAUCCUCCACGGAGCUCGAUGAGAAAAUACAAACCUCGACGUCAACUUUUCUGAUGUCAUCUUCAAACAGGCCCUCAUCCUCCUUCAGGACAAACUGCACUCCAUUGGUGGAAGAGACCUCACGUCUAUGGGACUACCAACAGCCUACAGGGACAACCUGCAUGCCCUUGCUCAAGAGAUCCUACAUUAAAUAUGCUAUUAUGCUUUACAGCUUCUUAAAUUGAUUUAGGAAAAUUAAACUAAGCUGAUGGAUGCACUAAUAAAAGCCUACACGAAAAUAUUGGAAGACAUUGAGACUACAAAUCGAGUCUUUUUUUUCUUUGAUGCACCUGCUAGUACUGGGAAGAUCUUUGUUUUCAAACUGCCCCUCUCUAAGGCUCACCAGAGAGAGAAAAUUGCUCUAGCUGUGGCAUCAUCGGGGAUUGCUGUGUAAGUCGAUGUGUGUGUGUGAGUCCCUAUAUGUGUGUGUUAGUCGAUAUGUGUGUAAGUCUAUUUGUGUGUGUGAGUCGAUGUGUGUGUGUAACUCCAUGUGUGUCUCUAAAGUCGAUGUCUGUCUGUGUGAGUCUAUAUGUGUGUGUGCGUGUACGUCGAUGUGUUUCUAUGUGUGUUGGUCGAUAUCUGUGUGUAAGUCGAUGUGUGUGUCUGUCUUUUUCUCCCGGGCAAUGCCGGGUACUUACCGCUAGUUAUUAAAUAAAAACGUGUUGCCUCCUAAGAAGACUCUGUCUCCAUACAACCCACUACACUUGCAUUGCAAUUGAAUAAUUAUUGCACAUGCAAUGUGCCCUCCUGCUAAUGGGGAAUUACGCUCGCACCAAGUGCUGGGCCCUUGUCAAGCAACUCCAUAGCAAGUGCGUGGGACAAGUCAAGCCACUCCACUGCAAGUACUGGGCCUUGUCAAGCCACUCCACUGCAAGUACGUGGGUAUUAUUCAGGGAGCACGUGGCCUUGCAGCAUCCCAGUGGCCAAGACUUCGGUCCCAGGGCCAGGACAAGCACGGACCGAGUCCGGGCCGGGACAGAGGCGGAACAACAAAGCGGACCUCUACCCCCUUGAGUCCUCCUCGGAGGGUCAUCUCCACGACCACCAGGGACCUCGUCAACCCGACUCCCGUGACACUUUGACCCUGUACGACACUACGUUGUUAGGUCAUCCAGACCCAGGACAAUAAGGGGAAAGUCUACAUCCCAGACCCACGGCGGCGAGGCGCUAGUGUUUUUGGGACGGGGGUAGGUGGUUGAUUGAGCAUGUCUAGAGGAUAUGCUCUGUAUUGUGCUGAUCGUGGUGUGCGAGUUGGGUCGUUGAUUGUACGCUGUUGCGUUCCGUUAAUAGUUGUUGCGUCGCGAGGUAGAGACUGCACAUGUUGACCUAGAAUCUAGUGCAGCAAAUCUACUCUGUAGAGACGGUACCAACCUCCCUUCCGUUAGAUUUAUGAUCUCUGCUCAUCGAGUGCAGUGCGUUUGAUUGCGUAAUUGCUUGAGGUUGCUUAGCCUGCAUAUUUCUGGGUGAAUACAUAUUGCAGCCUAAGCGUUAUUGCUUUGAUCUUGCUCCUUCCAACGGGUGGCCAACCGAACCAGUCACUUGAUCCGUCAAUCCCUCACCUUGACAGGCACAGGGUCCUUUGCGUAACAUCAUCUUUCUACCUAUCAAUGUAAAUUCACGCGUGCAUUUCUGACAUUGACUCUUGAAUACUGUACACUUCAUGUAUUGAUGGGGUGGAAGCUGUAGCUCAGUUCCUGAGUUUGAUUCCUAGCUAUGGUUAACAUUGGUGGUGAGGUAGAAUCUGGACCUAUCCUGAGCUCACUCUUCACUAACCAACCCUGAGCAGUGUAUGUAUGUUGAAUUUCUUUCGCAUCCUACUUAGCCAACCGUGCUAAUCGGAGUGUGGUGAAGUUUGGUCAAAAACGCAUCAAGGAGGCCUUCAUCCAGCAGUGGACUGACAAAGGGCUAUAUAUAACAAAAAAAAGUAAUUUCUUGUUCAAAUCAGCUGAAGGCAGUGCUUGUCUCCUGCUGACAGCCCUGGGCCAGUGGCGGAGAUUCCACAUUCCUAUUUGCAGGGAUGAGUCUUUCCAGAGCACAACCACAGUUGACCCUUCUCACAAAAGUGGUACUUAUCCUUUCGACCUCAGAGGGAUAAUGGGCUUCGUCAACCUGCAACUAGGAUUUUAACUCGCGACCUUCCGACUGCGAGCCACUCACUCCACCGCUGAGCCGCCUCGCCGGUUUUUAUGGGGACACUGUGAAAGUAACGUCCCCCCCUCCUCUCCUCCUCUCUGUCUCUAAAGAAUACCAAGGGCAAGAGAAGGAGCGUGCAGCUUCACUUCGUUACUCGAGCUCCAGGGCUCUCCGGUUCUUCUUAGGGCUGUUCUCCUGAACGUAUUCCUCUCUGUCGGCAUUCACCACUGAAGCAUGAGAAUUCAGGCUGCUGAGGAUCGUUGCUGUCUCGUGUCGACCAUGGCAGGCCUUGUCAUGCACAACCCCAGGCGACUGUGGAGGCUGCUCGUAAGCCCUGCUUGAUGAUGUCGUUGAAAUUGGACGCCAUGGCGGGGAGGUGAACCGUCGCCACGUUGCGUGGGUCGCUCCCCGAAUCCCUCCUGCCCUCGUCGCCUCGCCUUGACCUGUCCAGCGCUCCGCCGGUGACCUCCGCGUCUCG
Long non-coding RNA from Lethenteron reissneri (Far Eastern brook lamprey), 3344 nucleotides. RefSeq lists it as uncharacterized. NCBI's taxonomy places the organism in Eukaryota, Metazoa, Chordata, Hyperoartia, Petromyzontiformes, Petromyzontidae. The record is from RefSeq and is a predicted model, not a curated record.